GACGAACGCUGGCGGCGUGCUUAACACAUGCAAGUCGAACGGAAAGGCCCUGCUUUUGUGGGGUGCUCGAGUGGCGAACGGGUGAGUAACACGUGAGUAACCUGCCCUUGACUUUGGUAUAACUUCAGGAAACUGGGGCUAAUACCGGAUAGGAGCUCCUGCUGCAUGGUGGGGGUUGGAAAGUUUCGGCGGUUGGGGAUGGACUCGCGGCUUAUCAGCUUGUUGGUGGGGUAGUGGCUUACCAAGGCUUUGACGGGUAGCCGGCCUGAGAGGGUGACCGGCCACAUUGGGACUGAGAUACGGCCCAGACUCCUACGGGAGGCAGCAGGGGGGAAUAUUGCACAAUGGGCGGAAGCCUGAGGCAGCAACGCCGCGUGCGGGAUGACGGCCUUCGGGUUGUAAACCGCUUUAGCCUGUGACGAAGCGUGAGUGACGGUAAUGGGUAAAGAAGCACCGGCUAACUACGUG
Molecule: ribosomal RNA, 468 nt
Filed under: uncultured bacterium
Lineage: Bacteria
Description: partial 16S ribosomal RNA
Rfam family: Bacterial small subunit ribosomal RNA
Source: RNAcentral